GGUCAAGUUAUAAAGGGCUGACGGU
RNAcentral lists this ribosomal RNA (25 nucleotides) under Trichodesmium sp. NIBB 1067. RNAcentral's name for it is "partial 23S ribosomal RNA". Lineage: Bacteria; Bacillati; Cyanobacteriota; Cyanophyceae; Oscillatoriales; Microcoleaceae. The record is from RNAcentral.